GUCCCGCGCGGCUGCGGACGGUUGGGGCCGUAACCGCCGGGGGGGUCAGCCCUGAGCCACAGGAACGUGCCGGCACUUCAUAUAUAGAAGAACAGAGCAGCUUUGCAAUGCAAGGAACAUUUCAUGGGAAACCUGGAGACAGGAAAGGCUGUCAGCAACUCCAGGAGGGAGCUGUGCAUUGGCUUGCUGAAUCUGUCUCUAAGGAGAUUUCAGAUUAAUCAACCAAGGCAAUCAGAAUGCCAGUCUCUGGGUAUAAAUAAUAAAUAUGUGAAAUCUCCAUGGACUCAGCUUUCCAGGGUGAUCAGCUAUAACCUCAUCUACAGCAAAUGAUUCCUGAUGGUCCUCACAGGAGAUGCAAGUACAACAUACUGUCUUUGCCUUGUUGCUGCUGUGGAAUACACCUGAGGGAAGAUCUCAAAUAUUCUGGUUCCACUCUCUAUCAGAAAGAUCUGAUAUUCUGGUUUCACUCUCUAAAGCAAAACUGGUCCUUGGCUUUAAGGAUCAGCUGUAAUCCUGCUGCAAGUCCACUGAACUUGUCCUCUGGCUGGAUGUGACUCAUGAAUACUUGGUACAUCACAAAACUGUGCCUUUGAAAAACUUUUUAAAAA
This is a long non-coding RNA of Dromaius novaehollandiae (emu), 608 nucleotides long. RefSeq lists it as uncharacterized. The record is from RefSeq and is a predicted model, not a curated record. NCBI's taxonomy places the organism in Eukaryota, Metazoa, Chordata, Aves, Casuariiformes, Dromaiidae. The transcript is spliced from 4 exons.